UACGAAGGGGGCGAGCGUUGUUCGGAUUUACUGGGCGUAAAGGGCGCGUAGGCGGAUAGUUUAGUCAGAGGUGAAAGCCCAGGGCUCAACCUUGGAACUGCCUUUGAUACUGGCUAUCUUGAGUACGGGAGAGGUGAGUGGAACUCCGAGUGUAGAGGUGAAAUUCGUAGAUAUUCGGAAGAACACCAGUGGCGAAGGCGACUCACUGGCCCGUUACUGACGCUGAGGCGCGAAAGCGUGGGGAGCAAACAGG
Molecule: ribosomal RNA, 253 nt
Filed under: uncultured bacterium
Lineage: Bacteria
Description: partial 16S ribosomal RNA
Rfam family: Bacterial small subunit ribosomal RNA
Source: RNAcentral